AUUUUGCUUCAAAUAAAUAAAAUUUUGAAUCUCUUACCUAUGUCUCAUUAAAAAAAACAAAAAAUAUAAAAGAACUUAAAAAAAAAUUCAUUUAAUAGGGUCCGAACUUAACUUUGUCAUAUAGAAUUUGAGAAUUUUUUAAUGUACCCUACAUAUUUCUCAGCCUUCACAUAAAAAUUCUAAAAUGCCCUUAUAUUCUGUAGAUAAAUCUCCAGACGC
RNAcentral lists this long non-coding RNA (219 nucleotides) under Lathyrus oleraceus (garden pea). Its description in RNAcentral is "Pisum sativum (pea) long non-coding RNA (PSAT_LNC003334)". The record is from RNAcentral. Lineage: Eukaryota; Viridiplantae; Streptophyta; Magnoliopsida; Fabales; Fabaceae.